Molecule: ribosomal RNA, 884 nt
Filed under: Polydesmida sp. NZAC03013134
Lineage: Eukaryota; Metazoa; Arthropoda; Diplopoda; Polydesmida
Description: eukaryotic LSU rRNA
Rfam family: Eukaryotic large subunit ribosomal RNA
Source: RNAcentral
GUGAACCGUUUGGAGGUAAACGGGUGGGAGCGCGAAGGUCGAACGGAUGGGAAGGGAUUCAACUUGGCGUAGUAUGCUGGUCGAGCUGUGUGGGAACUAUUUGAGACUUUUCGGAGAAUCAUCUAAGUUUUUUCAUGCGGCUUGUACUUAGUAGUCUACUGUGCCUUGUGCAUUUCCCUAAUUCCCCUCUCCUAGUAGGACGCCGCGACCGGCUGUCGAGGGGAGCCCAGGAGCUGGUUGGAGCAGUUGCGCGGAUGAGUAAGGGAUUAGUUCUCUGCGUCUGGUCUGUCUGUCUCCUUCCACUAGCGGGUUUGCUUCCUCCGGCCGAGGAACUGUGCGAGCUGGGCUCUUUUAGAGUCCCUCGUCCAUUAACGCGCCCAGGAUCUGUCGGUGCGGGUCGAUAAAACCCCACGGGUGGCAGCAGGUGUCUGAGCGCCAGUCCUUGUGAUUGCGCGUUUAGAUACUUUGCGUCAGCCGCCGUCGGUCAGGGUGUGGACUCCCGCUAAGGGGUGCUGGGGGUCAGCGGCGAGUAGGUCGGUUUCCCACCCGACCCGUCUUGAAACACGGACCAAGAAGUCUAACGUGUGGGCGAGUCUUCGGGGUAUUAUUAACCCUUUAGAAGGCGAAAUGAAAGUGAAGGCUCUGUGCACUUCGGUGCAUAUCCUGGGUGGGAUCCGUUGUCUAAAGGCAAUGGCGCACCACCGGCCCGUCCAACGAUCGCAUUGCCGGUCGGGCGGAGCAAGAGCCCACACGUUGGGACCCGAAAGAUGGUGAACUAUGCCUGGGCAGGACGAGGCCAGAGGAAACUCUGGUGGAAGUCCGCAGCGGUUCUGACGUGCAAAUCGAUCGUCGGACCUGGGUAUAGGGGCGAAAGAUAAUCGAAC